CGGCCGGCGCUUGCCGAUCAACCCAAAUUUUUAUCCAGGUUGACCUCGGAUCAGGUAGGGAUACCCGCUGAACUUAAGCAUAUCAAUAAGCGGAGGAA
RNAcentral lists this ribosomal RNA (98 nucleotides) under Penicillium griseofulvum. RNAcentral describes it as "partial 28S ribosomal RNA". The stretch from base 41 to 98 matches the Rfam family "Eukaryotic large subunit ribosomal RNA", at positions 1 to 58 of the family's 3401-position model. The record is from RNAcentral. Lineage: Eukaryota; Fungi; Ascomycota; Eurotiomycetes; Eurotiales; Aspergillaceae.